This 106-nucleotide microRNA precursor is filed under the name Oryza brachyantha (malo sina). The record is from RNAcentral. Lineage: Eukaryota; Viridiplantae; Streptophyta; Magnoliopsida; Poales; Poaceae.
CAUUUGAUGUGUAGCCAAGGAUGAAUUGCCGGUGCCGUUUCGCUGCUGCAUGAGCAGUGGUGGGUGAUGCCGCCGGCAAGUCAUUUGGGGCUACAUGUUUGCCUCC